RNAcentral lists this ribosomal RNA (353 nucleotides) under uncultured bacterium. Its description in RNAcentral is "bacterial SSU rRNA". It matches the Rfam family "Bacterial small subunit ribosomal RNA", at positions 8 to 350 of the family's 1533-position model. The record is from RNAcentral.
AGAGUUUGAUCCUGGCUCAGGAUGAACGCUAGCUACAGGCUUAACACAUGCAAGUCGAGGGGAAACGACAUCGAAAGCUUGCUUUUGAUGGGCGUCGACCGGCGCACGGGUGAGUAACGCGUAUCCAACCUGCCCACCACUUGGGGAUAACCUUGCGAAAGUAAGACUAAUACCCAAUGACGUCUCUAGAAGACAUCUGAAGGAGAUUAAAGAUUUAUCGGUGAUGGAUGGGGAUGCGUCUGAUUAGCUUGUUGGCGGGGUAACGGCCACCAAGGCGACGAUCAGUAGGGGUUCUGAGGAGGAAGGUCCCCCANAUUGGAACUGAGACACGGUCCAAACUCCUACGGCAGGCA